UAACACGUAGGGCGCGAGCGUUGUCCGGAAUUAUUGGGCGUAAAGGGCUCGUAGGCGGUUUGUUGCGUCGAAAGUGAAAAUCCGGGGCUUAACUCCGGACUUGCUUUCGAUACGGGCAGACUAGAGGUAGGCAGGGGAGAGUGGAAUUCCUGGUGUAGCGGUGGAAUGCGCAGAUAUCAGGAGGAACACCGGUGGCGAAGGCGGCUCUCUGGGCCUUACCUGACGCUGAGGAGCGAAAGCGUGGGGAGCGAACAGGAUUAGAUACCCUGGUAGUCCACGCCGUAAACGUUGGGCGCUAGGUGUGGGGGACUUCCACGUCCUCCGUGCCGCAGCUAACGCAUUAAGCGCCCCGCCUGGGGAGUACGGCCGCAAGGCUA
This 377-nucleotide ribosomal RNA is filed under the name uncultured bacterium. RNAcentral's name for it is "bacterial SSU rRNA". It matches the Rfam family "Bacterial small subunit ribosomal RNA", at positions 521 to 896 of the family's 1533-position model. The record is from RNAcentral.